UUCUGGGGCCUGGACGGAAUAGACAAUCAGCUCAUUACCAGGUGGAGAAAGACACAUCAGUUUACACUCAAAGCCCUGAUGGUAGAGUUCAGCCCCAUAGCCAUCUGAGACCUAUCACGUUCCUUCUACUUUUUUUUCCAUUGUUUGGAAUAAAUAGCUAGGAGAUUUAACUGGAAGAUAAAGAACUUUUCAAAAACAAAACUAAAAUUUCCUCAAGAUAUUUUUUUAAACAAAAUUUCACCUGUCCUAGUGAUUAAAAAAAAGUCUUCUCA
RNAcentral lists this long non-coding RNA (272 nucleotides) under Monodelphis domestica (gray short-tailed opossum). Its description in RNAcentral is "lncRNA (ENSMODG00000033546.2)". The record is from RNAcentral. Lineage: Eukaryota; Metazoa; Chordata; Mammalia; Didelphimorphia; Didelphidae.